This 253-nucleotide ribosomal RNA is filed under the name uncultured bacterium. RNAcentral's name for it is "partial 16S ribosomal RNA". It matches the Rfam family "Bacterial small subunit ribosomal RNA", at positions 524 to 776 of the family's 1533-position model. The record is from RNAcentral.
UACGUAGGAGGCAAGCGUUGUCCGGAAUUACUGGGCGUAAAGCGCGUGUAGGUGGUGGGACAAGUCUGCUGUGAAAGUGCCUGGCUUAACCGGGCGAGGUCGGCGGAAACUGUCCGACUCGAGGACGGUAGAGGGGGGUGGAAUUCCCGGUGUAGUGGCGAAAUGCGUAGAGAUCGGGAGGAACACCUGUGGCGAAGGCGGCCCCCUGGGCCGGCCCUGACACUGAGACGCGAAGGCGUGGGGAGCGAACGGG